Nerophis ophidion (straightnose pipefish) is the source of this 2079-nucleotide long non-coding RNA. RefSeq lists it as uncharacterized. The record is from RefSeq and is a predicted model, not a curated record. Lineage: Eukaryota; Metazoa; Chordata; Actinopteri; Syngnathiformes; Syngnathidae. The transcript is spliced from 2 exons.
ACGUUGCUAUAGCAACCCCACUAUAGAUGACAAGAGAACAAUGUCACGUUGCUAUAGCAACCCCACUAUAGAUGACAGAAGAGAACAAUGUCACGUUGCUAUGGCAACCACACUAUAGAUGACAGAAGAGAACAAUGUCCCGUUGCUGUAGCAACCACACUAUAGAUGACAGAAGAGAACAAUGUCCCGUUGCUGUAGCAACCACACUAUAGAUGACAGAAGAGAACAAUGUCACGUUGCUAUGGCAACAACACUAUAGAUGACAGAAGAGAACAAUGUCACGUUGCUAUAGCAACCCCACUAUAGAUGACAGAAGAGAACAAUGUCACAUUGCUAUGGCAACCACACUAUAGAUGACAGAAGAGAACAAUGUCACGUUGCUAUAGCAACCCCACUAUAGAUGACAGAAGAGAACAAUGUCAUGUUGCUAUAGCAACCCAACUAUAGAUGACAGAAGAGAACAAUGUCAUGUUGCUAUAGCAACCCCACUAUAGAUGACAGAAGAGAACAAUGUCACGUUGCUAUGGCAACCACACUAUAGAUGACAGAAGAGAACAAUGUCACGUUGCUAUAGCAACCACACUAUAGAUGACAGAAGAGAACAAUGUCCCGUUGCUGUAGCAACCACACUAUAGAUGACAGAAGAGAACAAUGUCACGUUGCUAUGGCAACCACACUAUAGAUGACAGAAGAGAACAAUGUCACGUUGCUAUAGCAACCCCACUAUAGAUGACAGAAGAGAACAAUGUCACGUUGCUAUGGCAACCACACUAUAGAUGACAGAAGAGAACAAUGUCACGUUGCUAUAGCAACCCCACUAUAGAUGACAGAAGAGAACAAUGUCACGUUGCUAUGGCAACCACACUAUAGAUGACAGAAGAGAACAAUGUCCCGUUGCUGUAGCAACCACACUAUAGAUGACAGAAAAGAACAAUGUCCCAUUGCUAUGGCAACCACACUAUAGAUGACAGAAGAGAACAAUGUCACGUUGCUAUAGCAACCCCACUAUAGAUGACAGAAGAGAAGAAAGUGCCUUGUUCUGAUGUCACACAUGAAAAGUGAGAAAACAAGCACACUCACCAGCUGUCAUUGUUCUUGGCGCUCCUCCCCCAGGUGGUCACAUGACCAUGCUGUGCAAAGAACCCUGCUGGAAAUGGUCUGUUACAGGGUCAAAGGGCAAAUCAGUUGGUCAUACGUGCGUAGAAAGAAGACACGGAAAACAAGCCCGCCUUCUUACAUACGUCACAUACUCUAGCGAGUCUAGCGUCAUAGCUCUCGCCGAUCAGAGAGAGAGAUGGUGCGAACUUAUCACAAAUGGAGGAAGAACAAUAAAUGUCCAACAUAAAGAGCAGGGGGUCCAUCAUCUGGUGGUAGUUUGGCUCCAAGUGGGAAGACAACAGCAAUAUGCUGUUCAAUAUAUGUACUCUGAUGAUGAACCUGUGUGAUGACUGUAUUAUGUUGAUAGUAUAUAUUUCUACCAUCAAUAAUGUACAUAAUUCAAUGUAUAUACUCUGAUGAUGAACCUGUGUGAUGACUGUAUUAUGUUUAUAGUAUAUAUUUGUACCAUCAAUAAUGUACAUAAUUCAAUGUAUAUACUCUGAUGAUGAACCUGUGUGAUGACUGUAUUAUGUUGAUAGUAUAUAUUUGUACCAUCAAUAAUGUACAUAAUUCAAUGUAUAUACUCUGAUGAUGAACCUGUGUGAUGACUGUAUUAUGUUGAUAGUAUAUAUUUCUACCAUCAAUAAUGUACAUAAUUCAAUGUAUAUACUCUGAUGAUGAACCUGUGUGAUGACUGUAUUAUGUUGAUAGUAUAUAUUUGUACCAUCAAUAAUGUACAUAAUUCAAUGUAUAUACUCUGAUGAUGAACCUGUGUGAUGACUGUAUUAUGUUGAUAGUAUAUAUUUCUACCAUCAAUUGAUGAAGGUGGACCCCGACUUAAACAAGUUGAAAAACUUAUUGGGGUGUUACCAUUUAGUGGUCAAUUGUACGGAAUAUGUACUGUACUGUGCAAUCUACUAAUAAAAGUAUCAUCUUUUUUGUAAGGGGCGCUGGAAGCCGGCAGACCCGUCAGCGAUCCUG